CGUCACCUGCGGUGUUCGAGUUGUCUCUGAAUACCCUUAGAACCUAAAUCACAGUACGGGAGCCAAAAUAGAGGCUGUUGUUGUGCAGGUCCGGAUGAUUCGGAAAGCCUGAAACACCUCCUAGGCGCCCACUUGAACUAUCCGGUUCAAGGCUAAGGGGCAAUCCGGCACAGGCGGGUGACGC
This 184-nucleotide non-coding RNA is filed under the name Gammaproteobacteria bacterium. RNAcentral's name for it is "6S RNA". It matches the Rfam family "6S / SsrS RNA". From Rfam's summary of the family: E. coli 6S RNA was the first non coding RNA to be sequenced, but its function was unknown until recently. It consists of 184 nucleotides that fold into an extended hairpin structure with a large single-stranded internal bulge. Lineage: Bacteria; Pseudomonadati; Pseudomonadota; Gammaproteobacteria. The record is from RNAcentral.